Molecule: long non-coding RNA, 19043 nt
Filed under: Ananas comosus (pineapple)
Lineage: Eukaryota; Viridiplantae; Streptophyta; Magnoliopsida; Poales; Bromeliaceae
Description: long non-coding RNA (ACOM_LNC028331)
Source: RNAcentral
CACUAGUAUAUACACUACAAUAAAAACGGUCUACAGCGACACUUUUAAAUGUCGGUACAGAUCAAACAAAGUGCUGCUGGUUAAAUUACCGACACUUUUAAAAAGUGUUGCUAUAUGUGGGGUCGCUAGGUAUAUAGUGACAGUUAAAGAGUAUCGGUAUAACCUAAAAAGAGUGCCGCUAAUUUAUUAACACUUAUUUAAGUAUUUAGCAACCGCCGGAACUCUACCUCGUUCGCUGCGGUGGUGGAGGAUGAGGAGAGGGAAGGGCUCUUCGUCUAGGAUUUCAGUGGAUUGAGUGAGGGGAGAAGGGGAGAUGGUAAUCAAUUUUUCUUUUUUUUUUCUUUUCUGUUUGUAAUCGGACCGAAUGGAUUGGGUGGGGUGGAUUGAGUAGAGUAACUUUUUAUUUUUGGUUGAAUUGAGCUUUAUAUUUAGACAUUAGCAGAUUUUAUUUUUUAAGUUUUGACAUAAAUGGGAUAUUUACACAAAAGUGUCCCAAACAUGUGUCACUAUAACCUAAUUCUGUUGUAGUGAUAUUAAAUUAUUAAAAAUUGGUUAAUUUUGUUAAUUCGAUUUUUCUAGUUUUCAACUUAAAUUGAACUGAACCAAGUUAUAGAUUAAUUCAAAUUAGACCAACUAAAAUAAGUUGGUUUGGUUCAGUAAUUAGGUUUAAGCCAAACAAUGCCCACCCCUUCUACGUACCCUUGGUAAAAUGUAGGGUGGCAAUCCAGCUAGUUUGACUCGAAUUAAGAUCAACAUCGAAUCGUUCAUUUAGGAUACAUAUGCAUCUUGAACACGAGUUAAAAUUUUCAGCUCAUUUAAUAAACAAGCCGAGCACGAGUUGGGAUCAACUCAGUAGUGUUUGGCUCGAUAACAACUCGAAUAUAUAUAUAUAUAUAUAUAUAUAUAGAGCUAGGCUACUAUACUAUCUAUAAUACCGAGCACCGGUACUAUAGUGUUGGUUUUCGAUCUUAGGGCGUUCAAAUCAACGAUCCACACCGUUAAAACUGAUCUAGGGUGAGGGUAUAUUAAAAUUUCUAAGAGAAUAAAUUUUAUAUUUUUUCGACAUAGUUUUAUUUUAUGAUCAAACUAAUUUCAAAAUUGUCAAUUUUCAAUGGCUAUUAUGACGAGUUUGGAGUUUAACGGUGUAGAAUAAUCUAAAUUUUUUCAAAUUUGAUAGAAAAUACUUUAAACUAUUAACAUUAAGUUAACAUUCUUGAUCUUGAAUUUAAAGAUCCUAUGCUCAAAUUUUAAAAGAUUAUUCAAUUUCCACCGUCCAUAUUUCGAUAUAAUUUAUUUACUAAGUAAACGAUAUCGAACAGAAACUAAAAUUUAUUCCUAAGAAUUCAUGCAUCCACCGUCGCUCACCCGUCAUCACCGAACCCACAAAGUGAUGAUGGUGACCAGCCAACAAGGCUUAGCGACCACUCACAGAGCAACCAAACGACGUCGGAAGAAAUCCGAACCGAAACCGCGUUCUUUCGGCGAAUUUCGCCGAAAAACGCAUCGAAAUCGACUCUUCGAUUUCUGCAAAAGCUAACGGAUCAUGGACAAUCAGUCCAGAGGACACCACACAUGCCUACACACUGUCCACAGUAGCCCCAAGGCUCACAAUUGCGCAAAAGCCCCUGAAUUUACAUAAAAUCCUAAUAUUUUAUGUAAAUCGGGCGAUAACAUAGCCCGUACACGCAAACCGAGGACUUCUAAGUUCUGCUGAGACACAUACUGAUAGGUCUCGACGUACCGGAGGCCGUGCUCAUGGUCUGGAGCGCAACAGGUCACUGUGGGAAGCGCGGGAGCAACCCGAAGGUUCAGCGAACAGCACGCAGUCGGGGAAGAUUGCUCCAAACAGGGCUAGCCGGACACUGUUGAUCCAAAGUGAGGUGAGCACUGUGAUCGGAACUGACCCACGAUCACCGUGCUCACCUCCGGAGGCAUCAGGACAGCCUCGGAUCGCCGGAUAAGCGUGCGCAAAACCCAAAACAGCAGCCAAACAGGCUCGACAGGGUCGACACUGCCGAAACAGCGGAACGGAGUCCCCCCGGCAGAAUCUAAGGUGAGCACGAUGAUCAGAAAUUUUCUACGAUCAUCGUGCUCCCUUUCGCAGAGAUCGGGGAGGCUCAGGAAGCUCAGAACAGUAAACCAUCCCAAACUAAGACCUAUUUCAGGCUUGGCCGGAGCAAGGUUGCUCCGGCCGGCCUCCGGCGGCACGGCGGCGCGCGUGGGGGCCAGGGAUGGGUGCGGGGGAGGUGAGGAACACGAUGCUCACCUCCGUUGGCGGCGGGGUGCGGCGGCGGCGUCGGCGGAGCAAGGCAUGCCCGCACGAGCUAGGGCACGGGUCCGGGGGGUGUUGCGGCCACGGCGACGGCCGGGGCAGGUCGGGGACGACGGCGGCAGGUCCACAGAGGCCGGAGGAGAAGGAGGAGGAAAGCGGCGGGCGACAGCGGCGGCGGCCCGCGGCUCGGGCGUUGCCGCUCGAGCUAGGCUCGGUCUGCAGGCCUAGGCGGCGGCGCCCAAGGUUCAGGGCGGCGGCGGCGACCCGAAGGGCGGCGGCGACCGGCCGGGAAAGUCGGUGGGACACAGGAGAAGGCCGUGCGUGUGGACCAAGGCGGCUGCGGCGCUGGGGUGGAGUACCAAGUCUGCUCGGUCCGAGCAGACCUGGGAUGGCUGCAGGGUGGCCGCGGCGGCGGCGGCGGCCCGCAGGAGCGCCGGCGACCCGCCGGGGUGGUCGCCGAGGGUCCGGGGAUGGCGGUCGGAACGGGUGCAGGCGGUGGUUGCGCGCGGGGGAGGCCGCGAGUCAUCCUCGACCUAAGCUCGGCCUAGGCAGCAGCCGGGUGCAGCAGCGGCCGCGGCGGCGCUUGGCGACGGCGGCGGUCGGCGGGGAUGCUCGCCGGAGCACGGGGCGACACCGGCGGAGGGUCUGGAGGUGGCGGCAGUCUCGGGCUUCCUCACAACCCGAGAUAAGAGAGAGGGAGAGAGGGAUAGAGAUGGAGAGGGAGAGAAAGUGGAGAGGGAAGCCGGGGAGGUCCCUCCGGCGACCGCAGCGGCUUGCCGGCGGCCAAGGCGCGCGCAUGGGGUGGGCAGGGAGGAGGUCAAGCGGUUAGGAGGCUAGGGUUAUCUCGGAAUGGUGUAGGGUUAGGGUUUCACAUGAAAACCCUAACUCUUUUAGCCUUAUACUAGAGACAAAUUGCAAGUAAGUCCUCCAAAGCUCAAAAUUUCAUAAUGAGUCCUCCACAGCGCGUGUAAAACGCGAGAAUACCCCUCCAUGUACGAUCCCACGCAAAACGGCACAUAAAAUAUCGUAUCUUUUGCGAAAUUACAAUUUUGCCAACACCGACCUCUCUUCGAUCAACGUGCGAUCUCCGCAGAUCCGUCCAUCGGAUUUGCGAACGGAUCACACCAGUGCGAUCAGCACCUCGGAGACAACAAAGCUACACAUUCGAUUCAUCUCGAUCGACCACGGAUUCACAACAAAAUCCAACCUUCUUCCAAUAGAAGGAAACACACACACAAAUACAUAUGAAACAUGUAUUUUUGAAUUUUCUCGAAAUCCGUGCGCCAAACUCAAAAUCCAUCAGCGCCACUAGUUCCAGAACAGCUGAACCGGUCGAAACGAGCUAUUGGACUGAUAUGAACGGAGUCCGAUACGCACCAGAAGCCAACUCUACUCCGUGGCUUCUCCGGAAAACCGGAGUUACUAUUCACUUAAGUGAAAACUAAAAAUCGCGUAUCUUCUCCAUUUUAGCUCAGUUUCUCCUGAAACUUGACGAGUGCUUAUGUAAUUAAAUUACACACAUAAACAUCGUCAACGGAGAGUUUAGUUGCACUGUCAAAAAUCUCAGUCCUUACAUAGGGUAUUUAAAAUUUCUAGAAAUAAAAUUUUAUAUUUUUUCGACAUAGUUUAUUUUAUGAUCAAACUAUUUCAAAAUUGUCAAUUUUCAAUGGCUAUUAUGACGAGUUUGGAGUUUAACGGUGUAGAAUAAUCUAAAUUUUUUCAAAUUUUGAUAGAAAAUACUUUAAACUAUAUAAAUUAAGGUUAACAUUCUUGAUCUUGAAUUUAAAAGUCCUAUGCUCAAAUUUUAAAGAUUAUUCAAUUUCCACCGUCCAUUUUGAUAUAAUUUAUUUACUAAGUAAACGAUAUCGAAACAAACUAAAAUUUUAUUCCUAAGAAAUUCAUAUACCCUAGAUCAUAUUUAACGGUGUGGAUCGUUGAUUUGAACGCCCUAAGAUCGAAAACAAACACUAUAGUACCGGAGCUCAGUACUAUAGAUAGUAUAGGAGCCUAAUUCUAUAUAUAUAUAUAUAUAUAAUACAGAUUUUUAUUAUUUGAAUUUUUGCCCAAUCGAAAUAUGAAAUCCAACUCAAUUAUAAAAAAACACAUUUAUAUGUAAAAUUUUAAUAAUUAGAUUAAAAUCUAAUAGUAAGAUCUCAUAAAUUUAUUUUUUAUAUAUAUUAUCACUAAUUUUUUUAACUUAUUGUUUCUGAGCUAGCUCGUAUUCGGCUCGUUUAUUAACUUGUUGUUCGUGAGCAAGCUCGUGUUCGGCUUGUUAAUAAACGACCCAAGCAUGAGUUGAAUUUUUCGGUUUGAUGCGUUAACAAGCAAACUCGCGUUCGAUUUGAUUAUAAAACGAGCCGGUCCCAGCUCGCUCGUAUUCAACUUGUUGACAGCCCUAGUCAGAGGUCUAGUUGAGGGGAUUCAGUAGUGGGCUUAGAUGCUGGUUUUCCAAAGAAGAAAACGGAAUGCUCAAAUGCCAAGUCUCUUGUCACUAAAUUAGAGAACCAAGAAGAACCAUUCAAUGUUCUCUUGAAAUGGAUGGCUCGCAAAAGCUGGUCGGGUUCAAGAUUCGAUUUACUUUCACAAAUAUCAAAAUCAAAAUACUUCUAAACACCCAUGCCUUAUGAUUAUUAUUAUUAUUAUUUUGCUCAAAUAGCUUGUUAAGAAUAUUAGUCCCGUAUUUAAUUAAUACAUAAUAGAAUUCUAGAUUGUAAAUGAUAUGGGUGAUCUUUUCAUUUAUCAAUAAGUUUGUUGCUUGUGUUUUAACCCUUUAAUAAGAUAAUAUUAGAGUUUAGAGCACAAAGUUUAGUUCUUUGUGGUAUAUUAUUUUUUAAUUCAAUCAGUUCUAUUUCAACUUGUUUUAUUCGAUUUUUCUCUUCUACUUCAUAUAGUUCUUUCAAAAUGGUCAAUUUCCUCAACUACUUCAUAUAGUUAAGUACUCAAGUCGGUUCAUUUAAUUAUUUAUAAUAAUAUGCACCACAUGAUAGAGAGCCUAAUACAUAUCAGGCGUAUUAGAAAUAUUAGUACGGAUCGAAUACAAAUUAGGAUUCUGGCUCGCAUGCAUUGUAAUUUAGUUUAGAUUUUUAGUUUGGACCAGCUGGGCCUUUCAACAACACUAGAGAAUUCAAAUGUGUUAUAUUCCCACUAAAAAAAAAAAAAAAAAAAAAAAAAAAAAAAAAAAAAAAAACUUCAAUGGAGAGCUUCCUACGAUGUUUUAUUAAAGAAUCCUAAUUCAUCAUCACGUACCAUUUUUUUAUUUUCUUUCAAAGGUUGUAACCCUUUGCUAGCUAACUCUAGAGGUUAAUUUUAUUUUUCAAAUUGUAGUAUUAAAAUACAUCCAACGAACCAUUAGAUGGAAGCAAAAUUAACACAUGGCGACGGCUCGGGGACCGAUCUACUGCCACGUGUCAGUUUUGCCUCCAUCCAAAGUUUCGUUGAUUAUUUUUUUAAUACUAAAACCAAAAAAGAAUUUUUAAAAUUANAGUUUGGAUUUAUACCUUGGAAUAGUAUUUUGCCAAAAUGAUGGAAUAGUUUAUCCCAAAAUCUCCCCGGAUAAUUGAAAAUAGUAAGAUUUAAUAUGUAUAAUAUUAAUAAAGUUUGGAUUUAUACCUUGGAAUAGUAUUUUGCCAAAAUGAUGGAAUACUUUAUCCCAAGAUCUCCUCGGAUAAUUGAAAAUAGUAAGAUUAAUUCAGGAUACUUUAUAUUGGUCAAGAAUUAAUACUCCAUUUGACGAAUUAGGGAGGAUAACUUUUGUUUAUUCCGUUUUCUCCCGGAACCAAACAAGGCUACGUGGCGAAGGAUCCUACAUUCUCAAAAUGGACAAUUAGGGCAAGGGAACCUUUAUUCUAGCCUCUUGGUCUCACAAUACGUAGUUCAUUUGUAUUCAACAUCUGUUUGGUUGGAUGCAAUCAUAAUUACGUUGCAGUUAUAACUGCAAAAAAAUCUAAAUAUGAUUUUUUGUUAAAUCCAUUAAUCAAAUUCAAUCAGGGUAAUUGGAAUUCCACAAUGCUCUAUUGGAGCAGCUGGAACUUUGUCUAAAUUAACCAAAAUUCUAACUAUAAUAAUCGGAGAGAGUAAUUUCAUAGAAAAAGUGAGCUUAUCUACCUAAUUAAUCUUCUUCUAAAUAGAAGAUAUUUAUUCUCCAUAUUAGAGGUAACCUUACCAUCUCAUAUAAUUAUAAAAUUUGUAAAUACAGUUCUUAACUAUAUGCAACCAAAUAAGUUAUUUAUAGUUAGUGUUUUCUGCUACAUUCGAUCAAAGUCAAGUUGCAUUUAGCUCUAACUGCUGUAUUUCAACUGUAUUUAUUUUCAAAUUACACUAUAUUUAGAAUUACAUCCAACUGCCCCUAAGCUACUAAAUAUGUGACAAAACCUACAAUUAAGCCUAGAAAUGCAAUGGCUAAAAAAGCACAUAUUUUGUACGUUAGAAGGUCCAAAUAUUUUACAGCACUUCCAAUCUUUCCAUUUUAACUGCUAUAAAACGGCAGUUGUAGAGAAAAUUUAGUUUUUUAGGAGGCGUUUCUAAUCGCCUUCACACAUUAUGAUGUUUCGAAUUUUGGUUAAGUUAAGAAAGUGCAAAUUAGGUUAUGCUAGACAUGAUAAAAAUAGGUUUGGAGGAGUCUAGACUGAGUUUGGAUCGAAUUGAAACCAAUUCGGAUCGAACAGGUUCCGAAGAAGUGGAAACUGAAGUUCCAGACUUUUUGAAUGCCUGGUACCUGAGCCCGGGUGCCCAAAACCUAUUUUGGAUGGCCGAAUAGAGCAUCCGGAACUAUCGGACGCUUUACCUAAGAAUUGGGCUUACAUGAAGGAUAGCCUUCAGGCACCCAAGUAGCACUAUGGACCUUCGAAACCUUUCAUAUGCUACUUGCACUAUAACAAAUCUUGCACUUAAAGACACUUUAAAUAAUAACUAGCAACGCUUUAAAGUGUUGACAAGAAUAUUCCCGACGGUUGUAAAAUUGUCGAGCAAAGAGUCAAUUAGUAAAUACGUCGGGAUAAAUAUAUUGAUACUUUAAUUUAGCAUUGGAGAAUUUUUAUCAAUAUUUGAUAAAAAUAUAUUUAUUGACGAGACAUAAUCAAGUGUCAACACAUGCCAAAUAUUAAAGACACUACAAUAAAGCAUCGUCUAAAAAGUAUCGUCUAAAACAUAUUUGUUGUAUUGUUGAGGGAGUUCGAACCCUCUUUCGAACUCCAAACCUGAGAGCUUGAGUGCGUGAAGGAUUAAUCAAGGGUCCGAAUGUCCUUAAGGUGAUCUCUCCCAGGCAUCAUAAUGACUUUUGGACGCUCAACAGGAGAACACUGGUCUUGUGGUGCAAUAAACUAUUGAACAUCUGAUCUCCCCCGGAUGAGUGAAUUGCAGUACCAUGUGGACUGGGCGGGCGCCCGGAACCUUUUCCGUGAUAGCUAUUAAAUGGCACUAUGAAGCUUCAAGCUUUCAGGCCCCUGAAACCUAGCGUAGAAGCUGAGGUUUAUUUUCUUGCAAAUAAGAAAUGUUAGGGGGUUUAUAAGUUAUUGUAGCACUUCUACAAAAAGGUUUUUUCACAUCCAAACCCUAAUUCUCCCCUAUUUCUUCCUCCUUCACUCUUUCUUCUUUCUCUUAUGAAAAGAAAAGGAACCCUAAUUCCCCCGUUCUUGAAGCUUGAAAAUCCAUCUUCUUAGAGGCUUGGAGAGGGGAUCAAGGGCUUCAAGAGGAAGCAUUAGGAGAGAGACGGCACACACUCGACCCACGUUUUUCUUCGUAGAAGAUGAGAGGUGAUUUUAAAUUUUUAGGGUUUAUUUUGACAGUUUUUUUAUGAGGGAUUUCAUGGUUUUAACUUGGUUAAAACAUCUUGAUAGGGUCUUCUUGGUGAUCUAAAGAGAUAAAGGAAUCUCUUUGGAAGUAUUCAAGAGAACGUCAUGAAUAUCAUCGAAAUAGUUUGAUUUUUGGGUAAGCUUCAAAUACCCCCCUUAUGGUUUCACACUUUCUCACUUUAGUACUAUAUAGUUUAAAGUGUAUCAAGUUAGCCCCUAUGGUUUCACACUUUCUCACUUUAGUACCCUGUGUUUUAAAGUGUAUCAAGUUAGUACCCUGUGGUUUCAUUUUUCUCUUUUUAUUAUCCAUUUCACUAAUUUUUUUUUGUUAAAUCAGUGAUAAAGUUAAAAUUAAAGGGUACUAAAGUGAAUAUUCGAUUAACCUAGGUAGGAUAUCAUAAGUUUUUUUAUAUAUAAUUUAACGAAAUAUUAACGGAGGAAAAAAAAUCAAUGACAAAGUUAAAACUAAAGGGUACUAAAGUAAAUAUUCGAUAAACCUAGGUAGGAUAUCUGAAGUUUUUUGUUUAUAAUUUAACGAAAUAUUAACAGAGGAGCCGAUGAAAAGAGAAAAAUGAAACCGCAGGGUACUAAAUUGAUGUACUUUAAACCACAGGGUACUAAAGUGAGAAAGUGUGAAACCACAGGGUACUAAAUUGAUAGAUUUUAAACCACAAGGUACUAAAGUGAAAAGGUGCGAAACCACAAGUGUGGUAUUUGAAGUUUUCCCUUGAUUUUUCUUUGUUUAAAAUUUUCAUUGACUGCAAGUGUGUAUCAUGGGUAAUAAGUAAUAUAUUAGCAGUAUGCUAGGAGAUCUAAUAGAUCAAGAUAGAUGAGCAUUUGAUCUAGAAAAAAAUAAGGUUUUAAAACUUUGGAUGGUAAAGAAAAAUAUACAACAUGCAUGUAUGAUUAAUCAUUUAAACCUUGGAAAGGUGUGAAUGUAGUGAUAUAUGAACUUUAGGCAAAACUUGAAUUAGAAAACAAGAGAUAUAUAAAUAAACCUUUUGGAUAACUCUAAGGGUGCGUUUGGUUCGCACUAUGAAAGAUUACUAGCAAUAAAAAGAUGUCCGAGAAUCUUAAUCCUAUUCAUCAUAUUACUAAGAAUGUGGCAUUCCUGUGUUUGGUUCGCACGGUUAUAUUAUUUAGUUAUGUUAUUUAAGUUUACAAAAAAUAUACAAUUAAUUUAUUUAUUUUUUUAAUUAAUUUUAAAUAAUGCCACCAAAAAUUUCAACAUCUUUUUAGAAAAAGAGAGAGAGAGAACAUAGGUUAGAGAGAGAGAGCAUAAUUAAAGAAAUAAGAAGAGAAAUAGAGUCGAGAUUAGAGGGAGUGAGAGAGUUGAGAUUUUAGAAAAAGAGGGAGAGAGCUUAGCUUAGAGAGAGAAAAAGAGUUGAAGUUUAGAGAGAAAAAAAUAAGUUUAGAGAGAGAUAUGAGGUUAGAGUGUAAAGAANCAAGAGAUAUAUAAAUAAACCUUUUGGAUAACUCUAAAAGUCAUGAGAACUUAGGGUGUAAUUGUGAGACACAUUGAGACCUUCCCGAAGCAUCAUUUUAGGUGAUCUACUAUACUUGGUAAUGUCGAUUUCCUUCGAUGCCAAAUGCUUAUUGAUUGGAGGGAUGUCGAUAUCCUUCAACUCUCCAUGAGGCAUUUAACAAGAAGUGGAACCAAACCCAUGUAGACCUUUGACGAGUAAUUCAUUAUGGCAUAUUGUACAUAUGUUGAGGCAUGUAGCUGCAUCCUUCUUACUUGCAUUUCUAUUGUAAAAGUAGAUGUUUCUUUAUUAUCAUUAUUUACUAAUACCCCUUUUAGAUCGAGCAAGUGUAGAGUGCCACUUUCGAUAUUUGCACUCGUUAGAAACUUAUUUUAAAUUCUCAUCCCGUUGUUGUUUACAUCUCUUCAGAGAGCCUUCUAUAUAUUACCUGCGAGGCGUGAGAUCGCGACAAAAGCGUCACAACCUAGAUAGAUCGUGGUUAGUCAAUUUAGGGAAAAGUAUCCUUUCGUAUAAGCAAAAUAAUGUAAUAUUUUGGGAUGUCAAGUGUUGCAAACUUUAAAUAGGAUAAUUAUAAUAGUUUACUUUAGUAGCUUCAUUAUCUCAUGCUUUAUAUACCAUAGUAUAUAUGUGUGUAUAUAUAUAUAGUAGGACUACUGUACUAUUAGAAGCAUAGUAGCUAGCCUUUGUACUCCUAACCUCCUAACCAUUCAUCAAAUUUGAUGGGUGGUUAGGAUGAGAGGGAGAAAAAAAAUUGGUGAGAAAUUCAAAGAGAAGAGAAAUUAAGACACAUAAUUUCUCCUCAAUUUCUCUUCUCUUUCUCAUCCUAACCAUCCAUCAAAAUUGGUAGAUGGUUAAGAGGUUAGAAGCACAAGGGUUGCCCUGCUCCUAAUAGCACAGUAGCCCUGCUAUAUAUAUAUAUAUAUAUAUAUAGAGUCCGGCUACGGUACUUGUAAAAGCACAAAGCACUUAGUGCUUGUAAAUUUUUUACCGUUAGAUCUACACCUUUGAUCAUUUUUACCCGUUAGAUUAUACUAUUCAACCAAUCACCCACUCAACCUUAAGGGGCCCACAUCAUCCUAACCGCACAUCCCUUAAUCCAAGGGCCGAAAACUUAAAAAUACCAAUGACUUGGUACUUUUAAAAGCAUAGGAGUUCAAUUCUAUAUAUAUAUAUAUAUAGGUUGGUGUAUAUUUUUGCUUCAUAGAGGAAAAUCUUACCCGUUCGGUGAGUCUAUUGUAUGCAUCCAAGCAGGUCCAAUUGGUGGGACUCGAGGCAUGACAGGUAAGAGUGAUAUCAGGGUCCAAAAUAAUAUUUUUAGGCAGUUUUGGUGAACAUGAAGACUUAGGAUGACUCUGAGGAGUUAGAAAUGCGAGUAAGCAUGAACUUUAGGAAAAGAAAAGAAUUGAGUUUUGUGGUGUUCCUAAAUGAAAUGUUCGGGACCGAUCGAGUGAGAUAAUUCUUUCAUUCUUUGAAUAAUCACAUUGGGGGUCAACAACAUGAUGUUAGAAAUGAUAGGAAUUAGUGUCCCUUGAGGACUUCUGCUUAAUUGGAUCUAAUUUCUGGUCUAAGAGGAAGACUUGGAAUAAAAUGUUGUUGAUGUUGUGGUGUUGUCGGAUACCAAUGUCACCUCAUGGACGACCUAAGACGACGUCCGUGUUGACAUGACCUGAGACACCUGGGUGCUUCGGAUUGUAGCCGCCUAACUCUUUUCUUAACUAGGGUGUCGCCUAGGUUUUUUCCUAAACAGGGUGUUGGCAUUAAUUAUGAGCUGUCUGGGCCUCUUCCUAGUUAGGGUAGAGGAUUGAGUCAUAUUGUAUAAUAUUAUUUGUUAGUUGAUGCAUGAGUAAUACCUUGUGUACCAUAAUUGACACUAGGUAUAGAUAUCAGAUAUCUUGACAUAUGAUAGAUACCAUUGCUUGUCAAUUCACUAUAACAAUUCAUAAUUUAGUGACGUUUACUCUAUAGCAUUUAUUUAAAUCAUACUAAUUAAUAUAUUUAAUAGCAUUAUUUGAUAAUGGCCAAUAGAUUUAAUAAUUUAGUAGUAAUUUACAAUUAAUGUUAUAAAAUAGGAUAAAUUAGCAGUGUAAAUUAGUGAAUGUUGUUGAAGUUUUCAUCAUUUUAUAAAAAAUGAUACUAAAUGUGACAAAGUAGCAGUGCUUACUACUAAACGCCGCAGCAUUUACUCCGCGGUAUUUAUUUGAAUCAUGCUAAUUAAUAUAUUUAAUAGUGUUAUUUUGAUAACUGACGCUAGAUUUAAUAAUUUAGCAGCAAUUUAUUAUUAAUGUUGUAAAAUAGGAUAAAGUAGCAGCGUAAAUUAGUAAACGUUGCUGAAGUUUUUAGCAUUUCGACCUCCUCUUCACAGCUUCAUGCUGGGAAUUAUCGAAUGAACGAAAUAAGAGACUAUUCGAAGAUCAACUCAAGCAGCCUAGCUUUCGGAGCCAAAACAUUCUUUGCACGGUGCGAGAUCGUGGAAAGCCGCACUCGGGGACACGGACAGCAUCUAGGAGUGUGUGUUUUUUGGGGGUUUUUUUGGUUUUGAUUUUGGUUUGUGGUUUUUUUGUUUCUGGGUUCCUGCUCCAAGAUCUUGAUUGCGAACAACCCAUGCUGUCCUUGCCGUUCUAUUUUUUCGCCUUACUAGACUGCUCCUGUACUCUUUGUUCUGACUUUGUUAAAAUAGGGUAUACUCCUGUUUAAUUGAAAUAAAGGGCCGUUUGGUUGGAUGUAAUUAUAAAUGCAGUGUAGUUAAAAAUGCAUGCAAUUGAAAAUACAGCAAUUAUAAUUACACAUAGUUUAUUUGGUUUUGUGUAGAUGUAACAGUUGUAGUUGCAUUUCCUCUGUUUGGUAAUGUGAAGCUGAUGGUUGUAUUUGUGAAGCACGUCACCUCUUCAGAUAGUAUGGUGAGAUUAUCUUUACUAUAUAUAAAAUAAUUAUAUAAUUUUAUUAAUUAUUUAAAUUUACUAUCUAUAAAUAAAUAAGUGGUUAUAUGUAAUGUUUUUAUAUUUUUUAAUAAUUCUUCAACUUAUCAAUCGACACAUUUAAAAUUUUCAAAAUAUUUAAUUUUAAUAUGUAAAUCAAACUUUAAAAAUUUAAAUGAUUCUCUCAUUUUUAUCAAGUUUAAUAUUAUAAUAAUUAAAAUUAUUAAGUUAACAUACACAAUCAUGUUUUGCGAAUUGAGAAAAAAAAACUAAUUUUUUAUAUUUUUAUAAAACUAAUUUUAAAUGUUUUUAAUUUUUUACACAAGCUUGUAUUGCCUAAAAAAUUUAUUAGUAUGAAUUUAUUUAACAAGUAUUUUAUUUAUCCAUAUAUACUACAAGUAUAUAUAUAUAUAUAUAUAUAUAUUAUAUUAUAUAAUAAUUAUUUUAAUAUAUAAAUAUAUAUAUAUAUAUAUAUAUAUAUAUAUAUAUAUAAUAUAUAUAUAUAAAUUUAUUUAUUUAUUUAACUAUUUAUUUAUUAUUGUUAAUUUGUGGGUCAUCCUAUAUAUCGCUUACCAACUGCUGUAGUUGGAACUACAGCCAUUUGGAUAUAGUUCCAACUCAGCAUUUGGACUUUCUUGUGCAGAUGCAAUUGCAGCAGUUGGACUCAAUUGCACUAAACCAACACAAGAAUUGAGGUUUUACAUGAUUUGCAACUACCUUGCAAUUGCAAAUGUAAUGUAACCAAACGACGCUAAAUGUAACAAAGUUGCAGCUAGCGCUUAUUGCUAAAUGUCUCACUAAUCAAUAUAAUUAUUAAUAAUAAUCCUAUUUUAAUACUUAGAAUUAAAAAUUUUAAAAUUAAAUUUAAACAUUUAAAACUAUAAAUAAAAAGAUUAAACUUAUAAUUUAAAUUUAAAUUUUACAUUUUAAAUUGAAUUUCAAUUUUAAAUUUUAAAAUUUAAUAUUAAAAUUUUAAAUUUUAAAUUUUUUCUUAAAUUUAAAAUUUCAAAUUAAACUUGAUUUUGAAACUUAAAAUUUGAUAUUUGAAAAUUAAAUCUUAAAUUUAAUAUCUAAAUUUAGAAUUUUAAAAUUUAAAAUUUUAAACUUAAAAUUAAAAAUUUAAAAAUAUUAAAUAUAUAUAAGACUAUCCUUAAUGCAAAGUGGCAAAGGGCUUGACGGUUUGGUAUCUGAGGUCCCAAGUUCGAAUCCUAAUUGAUUCACAUUUUUAAAUAAAUUAUAAUUCAUAAAAGAAAUAAACGAAAGUGAGUAGCAUAGGGUUGUCAACGAAGUCGAACACGAGCGAGCUGGGGUCGCUCGUGUUGCGCUCGUUUCAUAAACGAGCCGAACACGAGUAAACGAGCCGAACACGAGCUGGCUCGUUAAAGUAUCGAGCAAAAAAUUCAGCUCGUGUUCGCUCGUAUUAUUAACGGAGCCGAACACGAGUCGAAUACGAGCUGGCUUAUGAAUAAAAUUUAAAAGGAUUAGAGAAAUAUUAUAAGGAAAUAAAAUUUAUAAGAUCUUAUCCGUUAUAUUUUGAUCUAAUGAUCAAAAUUUUACAUAUAAAUAAAUCAUUUAUAAUUGAGUUGGGCUUUAUAUUUAGGUUGGGCUAACAAUCGAGUAAUAAAAAUUUAUAUUUUAUAAUAUAUAAUUAUUAAUUUAAAUAUAUAAAUAUAAAAUAUAUAUAAUUCGACUGUUAUUGAGCGAACACGAGCGAGCUGAACCCAACUCGUGUUCGGCUCGUUUAUUAAACGAGUAAAAAAUUUCAGUUCGCGCUCGGCUUGUUACUAAACGAGCGAUUUCGAUCUCGAGCUCAUUCGAGCCCGAACACGAGCUGGCUCGUCGGAAUGAACAAGCCGGAUUGCCACCCCUACGAGUAGCAUGCUAACUUUCUCUUAAAAAAAAAAAAUCAAAUAUAAAUACAAAUUUAAAAAUCGAAUCUAAAAUAAAAUUAAAAUUUCAAAAUUUCAGUCUCCAAAAUCAGGUAUUUAUAUUAGUGGCAUUAUAUCCAUGCGCCACUAAUAAAUAAUUUAAAAUUAGCAUUUAACAACCAUUUUAGCGGCAUGUUUCUAAUAACACCACUUGAGUUACAUUGCCAGCAUUCAUUAUAAAUGCUACUAAUAUUUUUAGCAAUAUUGGCAUAAGCAGUAUUUGGUGUCAUAAGCUGUUAAAACUUUUAACGGCAUUCGUUAGUCUUUUAACAGCGUAAAUAAAGGCCAUUAAUGACUAAUUUUCUAAUAGUAUAUUAUUUACAUACCCUACAGCUUUACUAUUUUUCAGGAUCGUCGGGUAGGGUGGAGCAUGGUGUGGAGUGAGGACCAAUGAUAGUUAGCUCUUACUUGAGAUUGUGAUACAUGCAUGUUGAGGUUUCUACUGCCUCACCGAUGUUGCUAUUUUCAUAAUUUUAAUGAAUGAAGUGAGUAGCGUGCUAUCUUUUUCUAAAAAAAAAAAAGAAACUAGUGAUGCUAAAGUGGAUACUUAAUGUACUUAAUUGGAACCUUGUUUUCUGUAAACUCAUAAAUGUUAUUCGAAAGUUGAAAUUUCGUGGUCUCUACCUUUUGUGAAAAGUUCUUGUAUAGGUGCAUGCUUUCACUACAACAGAAUUAGGUUAUAGGGACACAUGUUUGGGACACUUUUGAGUAAGUGUCCCAAUUAUGCUAAAACUUAAAAAAAACAUCUACUAAUGCCUAAAUAAAAAACUCAAUCUAACCAAAAAUAAAAGAUUACUCUACUCAAUCCACCACACCCAGCCCAUUUGGCCCGAUUACAAACAGAAAAGAAAAAAAAAAGAAAAAUCUAUUACCAUCUUUUCUUCUCUUUUCACUCAAUCCACUGAAAUUCUAGACGAAGAGCCUUUCCUGUCGUUCUCCUCCGCCAGCGCAGCCAAAGAGAUAGAGUUUCGGCGGUUGUUAAAUGCUUAAAUAAGUGUUGGUAAAUUAGCAGCACUCUUUUAGGUUAUAGCGACACUCUUUAACUGUCACUAUAUACCUAGCGACCCCACAUAUAACAACAUUUUUUAAAAGUGUCGGUAAUUUUAGCUAACAGCACUUUUUUGACAUGUACCUACAUUUAAAAGUGUCGCUAUAGAUCGUUUUUGUUGUAGUGUUUGUGAUCCAAUGUGUGCAUGUAUAGAGAAAAACAUUUGUCCGUGUGGUAGGUCUACUCACAUGCACCCUCAGUUAACCUUCUGUGCGGGAGCACACAUGACAUCUUUCACAGCAAGAAGAGGUUUAGGAGAACCCCUCUAGUAAUUUUGUUUAGAAGUGAUUAUAAGACCUGUCUCUAUACAAUCACUUGUACAGGAUCGCUUUUUCUUGUGGUGAGAAUUCACUAAUAGAUUUGAUUUGAUUCAUGGGGAGAUUAGCAUGUUCACCUCUUGACCUGUUUGGAUUUUGGAGAAAGGAAUAUUCCAAUAACACUUGUAUUAUGAGAAUUAUCUUUUGUGAGUGGAAGCUAGCGGUUUGACCUUUGCUCCUUGAAAAUUCCGGACACUAAUAAUUUGCUUGGAUAAUAUAUAUAUUUCACUUAAGAGGUAACCUAUAUAUCUUAUUUCAAAAUAAAAUAAUUUGAAGCCGAAUUUGGUAUUUCGUUAUAAACAUUUGACCGCACUUCUCAACCACCAAAUACUAUAAGCUUUUGUAGUAAAUAAAAAUUAAAGGAUAUAUUAGACACGAAAUUCAUAUAUCCAACCAAUGCCAUUGUCGAUCCCACAUUCCGAAAUUUACUAAUCUAAUUCACAACUUGGCUUAUAGUUUAAUUUGGGAAGCAUUUUCCUAAUUUCCUCUUAAUUAAAAAGAUAUAGCGAGACAGUGGUGUCAAGGAAAUAAUUUCAUUCCUUGGUAGUUUCAGAAAGCAAGUCCCUUUUUAAUAAUUGUGGUUAACAAAUUAAUAUUUAUUUAAUAUAUUUAACGCGUGCGCGAGAAAGGGAAGAGGAGGGAGGAGUUCAGGAAAAGGAUCAACUUGAGCUGAGUGGAUGUUGCUGAGAGCAAAACAUGGAUGUUUAUUUGUCCACCACCUUUAUUAAUUUGGACCAUGUUGACCCUCUCCAAAGCCUCUUUUUAACUUUGUCAUGCCCAUAGAAGAGAGAGAAAUUAAGAAGUGAGAGAGAGAGAGAGAGAGAGAUAUGUCUAUAUAUACCAGUCCUAGGAUCUGAUGAGAGAGAGAGAGAGAGAGAGAGAGAGAGAGAGAGAGAGGGGUAGAGGUUUAAGCCUUUAAGGCAUGCAUGGGAAUCUACUUACAACUUUACAAGGUGGUGGCACGCCACCUGAGUCACUAUUAUCAUGAGGUCAGGAAGGAAUUUCACAGCUUUCUCUCUUUAUUUCCUUUCAUGCACCCUCCAAAAAUAUUAAUGGAAUUGAAGAGGUGAAUGGUGAUCACCUGCAUGCCCACCAUAGCAAGCAACAAUAAUACCCUACACAUAUACAUAUCAAAACUGACACAUUGAACUCUUCCUGGUUGAGACCCAAAAGAUUCAAUGCAAACAUUUUCAAGUUCCGUUGAGAUGAUCAAUGGUGCAUAAAAAAAAAAAAAAAACAAAAAAACAAAAAAAUCAUCAGUGUAAAUUAAUGCUCAAAACAAUAUUUCCAAGAUCAUCAAAUAAAAGACGUAUUAUUCGGCGGCAUGAACGGUGAAAUAGAUUUAAAAUAAUAAUAUAAUUGAGAUAAGAGGUUAGUGGGUGAGUUUGAGCCUUUAAUUUAAUAUUCUUUCCCUUAAAAGAGAAAUUAUUGCACGCUCCAUGGACCCAUGGUCUAUGUACUGAGCUCUCCAGAAUUUAAACCUAAUAUAACUUAAAAUCCAAAUGUAAAGUAAAAAAAAAAAUUCACACGAAAAUUAUAUUUUAUAAAGGUCUAUGAAUCGUGAGACAUAUUAAGAUUCAAUCUAAGUUCUGAAAAAAAUUGGAUUACCUUUGUAAAAAUCAACAAUGUUAAGUGAUGCUAUGUGGUGUGUUCAUAUUGGAUUUGGUUAAACCCAAUCAGUUUGGAUUCGACCUGAUAUGGUUUGUUCACAUUGAGAUCGGCUGGAUAUAUUUUAAAUAAGGAUAAGCAGAGUGAAAAGCUAGUGGAUAAGGUUGAAUUCAAAUUCAUAGGUAUUCAAAUAGACUUGAAUUUAAACUUAUCCAUCCGGCUCUAUAUAUCCCUCCUUAUUCGUAAAUAUAUAUGAAAAGAGGAAAUAAGGGAAUUUCUCCUUUCUUCUUCCCUUAUGUAGCACAUUCUUCUGUAACUCUUAGAACACCACCUUGACGUAGAAUAGGACUCUUAUAGCCCUCUUCUGGUAGCCCUCUUCACAUACUCUAAUAGCUCUCUUCACAUCCAUCUGCGACACGUGAAAGGAGAUUAGAUACAGUAAAAGAUUCAAAUCAAAAGCAAGGACGAUUCAAGAAGAUUUGUAAAACAAUCAAUCCAAUCCGGUUUUUAUUCUUGGAUACGUUGACAAUUUAGUUUGUAAGUUUUUAGUACUGUUUAUUUAUUCCAACAUUAAGAAAACUAUUUUUUAUUAUAUGAGAAAAAGACUAUAAAAAUAAAAAUAAUAUGAAUGAGACAUUUUAAAUCCAAUAGUUUACGUUUUGACUUCAAGUCUUUUAAGUUCGGAUGAAGUCUUCUGUAUAUGUAACAUGGACUGUACUUACAUUAAAAAAAAAAAAUCAUAUCCCAAAUAUUGUUAUGUAUCUUGAAAAGUAAACACAAACAAUAAUUUCCUUUUCCACCUUGUCAAUCUAGAGUUAUUGCAAUACCAUUAAUUCUGCCUUCACAUGCUAAUUACAUGCAUGGCAUAAUUGGAUUGAUCUGAUACAUCUAUGUAAGAUUAAUUUCCGUUACAUGCAAUAUUUUCUUGGAAGUGCUUUUGGAUUCUAAUGAAUAAAGGUUCUGUUGUGGGUCAUUAACCUUAACUCUUCCUUCCUCCAGAUGCUUACGUGACAUAAUCGGAUUUGGUCCGAUACAAUUCUUUGUAAAUAUAAUCUCUAUUGCAUGCAAUUAAUAGUUCCUUCGAAAUGCUUUGGACCUCAUGAAUAAAGAUUCACUACAACAAAACCGGUUUAUAGCGACACUUUUAAAUAUUGGUACAGAUCAAAAAAAGUGCUGUUAGCUAAAUUAUCGACACUAUUAAAAAGUGUUGCUAUAUAUGUGGGGUCACUAGGUAUAUAGUGACAGUUAAAGAGUGUCGCUAUAACCUAAAAAGAGUGCUGCUAAUUUAGCAACACUUAUUUAAGCAUUUAACAACCGCCGAAACUCUAUCUCGUUGGCUGCGGUAGCGAAGGAAGACGAGAGGGAAGAGCUCUUUGUCUAGGAUUUCAGUGAAUUGAGUAAGGGGAGAAGGGAAGAAGGAGAGAUGGUAAUCGAUUUUUUUUUUUCUUUUUUCUUUUCUGUUUGUAAUCGGGCCAAAUGGGCUGGGUGGAUGGGUUAAGUAGAGUAACAUUUUAUCUUUUGUUGGAUUCGGUUUUAUUUUUGGGCAUUAGUAGAUUUUUUUAAAAGUUUUGAUAUAAAUGGAACACUUAUACAAAAGUGUCCCAAACAUGUAUCCUUAUAAUUUAAUUCUGUUGUAGUGAUUCUUCAGAGCGUUGUUGAGGUUGUAGAUGUGUUGUUAAAUU